This 288-nucleotide long non-coding RNA is filed under the name Vitis vinifera (wine grape). Its description in RNAcentral is "long non-coding RNA (VVIN_LNC002085)". The record is from RNAcentral. Lineage: Eukaryota; Viridiplantae; Streptophyta; Magnoliopsida; Vitales; Vitaceae.
GAUACAUAAAACAAAUAAAUGGAAGUACUAAAAUAAUGAUCAUAUUCUUACCUUGAUCCAUGAAGUGAGAUUGAGUCACCUUGUGAAUUGUAUUGUCAAGGUCUUCAACUCACUACUCUCAUAUAGUGGAUGGGUCACUUGUGUGGUGUAUGUUGUUAAAAAAUAAACAACAAGAAAGAAAAAGACAUAAGAAUGAGAGUGUGGCUUGGGACCUCAAUUUAUAAUAAGUUGUACAUCUCUUAGUCUUCCCAUCAAAGACUAUAUGGGAGUUAUACUCAUUAUUUACAC